This 611-nucleotide long non-coding RNA is filed under the name Phoenix dactylifera (date palm). RNAcentral describes it as "long non-coding RNA (PDAC_LNC016262)". Lineage: Eukaryota; Viridiplantae; Streptophyta; Magnoliopsida; Arecales; Arecaceae. The record is from RNAcentral.
UAUUUCUUAGGCUUUCAUCUAUGUUUCAUCUUUAUGUUUAUUUUUGUAUAUUCUAUUUCCUUCAUAUUAAUUAUCUCAUCUGCAUGUUAAACUUCAUUUGGCAAAUCCUAUACCAUCUUCAUUGUGUUGGCAGAGAGUUCAAUCCAGGCUCUAUGAUAUGCGUAGCAUAUUCUUCUCUUAUUUCUUAUGAGUGACCAACUAAAAAUUUAUCUGCGUUUAGCAAAGUUUGCGGUACCAAUUGGUACGUACCAUAUCAGUGUUGAACCAGUACAUGGUAUUAGGGAUGUACUAAUUGUCGAUGCACCGAAGUAGGUACCAUAUCGGAUGUGUACCAAUAAAGUAGUAGGAUGGUAUUGGUAUAGGUCCGCUACCAAGAUGGUGAACCUAUUUAGGCCCUAUUUGGAGAGCUGUUGGCAGUAGAGCUUUUGGAAGUAGAGUUUUUAUAAAAAGUUGUUUGCUUUUUGAUAAUUAUAUUUCUAAAGUGCUGUGGCACUUUAACAUGUAUUUGGUACAAACUGAGAAAGUACUUUUGCUAUGAUAAAAUGACCAUAAAGGACAUUGCAUAGUAUUAUACAAUAGAAUAUAAUAAAAUAUAAUAUAUAUUAAUACAU